Molecule: unclassified non-coding RNA, 937 nt
Filed under: Hevea brasiliensis (rubber tree)
Lineage: Eukaryota; Viridiplantae; Streptophyta; Magnoliopsida; Malpighiales; Euphorbiaceae
Source: RNAcentral
CUCUCUCUCUCUCUCUCUUUUUCUUACAGAUUCCAAAGAAAUGGUCUCUCUCUUUCUCGAUGCAAAAUCACAGAAAAUGGAACAAAAUCUACCGUUGAUAGCCAAAAGAAUAUGGGAAACCGUGCGUGUUAUCUUCUUCAUGCUGCGAAAGGGCAUAUUAAAGAGAAAGCUUCUGGUUGAUCUCAACAUGAUGCUUAAACGCGGCAACAAGAUUGCAACUAAAGCCAUAGGGAAUCUCAUGUUCCACCAUCAUGACCACCACCGUGACAUCUCUUUCCCUGCCCCACCCCACGAGUACGAGUUCAGCUGCAGUAACACCCCCAUGUAUUCACUUCCCUUCCAUGUCAACAAGCGUCGCCACCACCGCCACCAGCACCACCAUAAUAACUUCUUCUCAUGUGCAUUCCACACUCCACAAACUCUUGAUGAUGAUGUUACAACCAUGAACGCUGUUAAGCUGGCUUUGGAGAUGAUAAACAAUAACAGCAAUGAGGUGAUGGUGGAGGCGUCUCCCAUGUUGCCGGGGUUUGGCAAGAGCCCAAUGGUGAGACAAUUGAGGAUAACGGACUCGCCGUUUCCAUUGAGAGAUGUUGAUGAUGAUAAUGGUAUUGUGGACAAGAAAGCUGAGGAGUUUAUAGAGAAGUUCUACAAGGAACUGAGGCAGCAGCAGCAGCGAAAGAAAUGAGAGAGUGGCUGAUCGAUGAGUGAGAAGGGUGUUGUGGUUUCAAUUUGGUUCUAUUGUUAAUAAAAAGUUUCAUGGAGUCUAUGUUCAGGAUCUCAAUGUUCUUGAUGUUGAAGAAGGCUGUAAUUAAGCAAUGAAUUAAAAUGAGGUGUAUAUUACAGGGAAUCAAAACUUGAUCCUUUGCUUAAUUGCUAUAUAUUUCAGUUAUAUUUGUAUACACUAAAUCAAUAAAUGCUUUAUAUGGAUGAAAUUUUG